This 492-nucleotide ribosomal RNA is filed under the name uncultured bacterium. Its description in RNAcentral is "partial 16S ribosomal RNA". It matches the Rfam family "Bacterial small subunit ribosomal RNA", at positions 29 to 507 of the family's 1533-position model. The record is from RNAcentral.
AGUGAACGCUGGCGGUAGGCCUAACACAUGCAAGUCGAACGGCAGCACAGUAAGAGCUUGCUCUUACGGGUGGCGAGUGGCGGACGGGUGAGGAAUACAUCGGAAUCUACUUUUUCGUGGGCGAUAACGUAGGGAAACUUACGCUAAUACCGCAUACGACCUACGGGUGAAAGCAGGGGAUCUUCGGACCUUGCGCGAUUGAAUGAGCCGAUGUCGGAUUAGCUAGUUGGCGGGGUAAAGGCCCACCAAGGCGACGAUCCGUAGCUGGUCUGAGAGGAUGAUCAGCCACACUGGAACUGAGACACGGUCCAGACUCCUACGGGAGGCAGCAGUGGGGAAUAUUGGACAAUGGGCGCAAGCCUGAUCCAGCCAUACCGCGUGGGUGAAGAAGGCCUUCGGGUUGUAAAGCCCUUUUGUUGGGAAAGAAAAGCAGCAGGCUAAUACCCCGCUGUUCUGACGGUACCCAAAGAAUAAGCACCGGCUAACUUCGUG